Molecule: ribosomal RNA, 115 nt
Filed under: Candidatus Pacearchaeota archaeon CG1_02_31_27
Lineage: Archaea; Nanobdellati
Also listed under: 3 other names
Source: RNAcentral
GAAGACGACCAUAAUAAGCAGGAAACACCCGUUCCCGUUUCGAACACGGAAGUUAAGCUGCCUAUGUUUUAAGUUGUACUUGCCCUUGGGUUGGGAAGCUUGAAAGUUGUCUUCU